RNAcentral lists this unclassified non-coding RNA (21 nucleotides) under Chlamydomonas reinhardtii. Its description in RNAcentral is "small RNA Cre_3520". The record is from RNAcentral. Lineage: Eukaryota; Viridiplantae; Chlorophyta; Chlorophyceae; Chlamydomonadales; Chlamydomonadaceae.
UGUAGCACCAGCAUUGGCAGU